Lycium ferocissimum is the source of this 388-nucleotide long non-coding RNA. RefSeq lists it as uncharacterized. NCBI's taxonomy places the organism in Eukaryota, Viridiplantae, Streptophyta, Magnoliopsida, Solanales, Solanaceae. The transcript is spliced from 2 exons. The record is from RefSeq and is a predicted model, not a curated record.
AAAGAAGCUUGAAACCUUGAUCAAAUCCAAAAAGAGUGGGAGAGCACUGUACUCAAUGCAUGAAUUUGGGGCCAAAGACUUCAAGGUUAUGAUAAACAUGCACGAAUGGUGGGAGGAUUGGGUACUUAGGGUUGUCCGAUGAGUCUACAAAUGUGGGUGUCGUGCCCUAUGAUCAAAGACUUGCUCUCUUUAGGUGGGACGAUGAUGGUCUCGCUUUUCCCAGAGGUAGUGUGCCCUACCCAGGUGGCUGCGAGUGGAUUGGUGCCAAAAGGAUCAUAGCUGUCAUGAAUAUUAAUGACAACCAUUUUGUCACUAUUGAGAUCAUCAUUGAGGAGGGUAUCAUAAAUGCUUAUGAUUGCAACAUCCCAUGUAAUGAAGACAGUGCUUU